Molecule: ribosomal RNA, 458 nt
Filed under: uncultured bacterium
Lineage: Bacteria
Description: bacterial SSU rRNA
Rfam family: Bacterial small subunit ribosomal RNA
Source: RNAcentral
CGCUGGCGGCGUGCUUAACACAUGCAAGUCGAACGGUAAGGCCCUUCGGGGGUACACGAGUGGCGAAACGGGUGAGUAACACGUGGGUGAUCUGCCCUGCACUUCGGGAUAAGCCUGGGAAACUGGGUCUAAUACCGGAUAGGACUCCUGGCUUCAUGGUUGGGGGUGUAAAGCUUUUGCGGUGUGGGAUGGGCCCGCGGCCUAUCAGCUUGUUGGUGGGGUAAUGGCCUACCAAGGCGACGACGGGUAGCCGGCCUGAGAGGGUGACCGGCCACACUGGGACUGAGAUACGGCCCAGACUCCUACGGGAGGCAGCAGUGGGGAAUAUUGCACAAUGGGCGCAAGCCUGAUGCAGCGACGCCGCGUGAGGGAUGACGGCCUUCGGGUUGUAAACCUCUUUCAAUAGGGACGAAGCGCAAGUGACGGUACCUAUAGAAGAAGGACCGGCCAACUACGUG